GCGGUCUUGGCCGAGUGGUUCAGCGAUGGACUAGAAAUCUAUUGGGGUCUCCCCGCACAGGUUCGGAUCCUGUUGACUGCG
This 81-nucleotide transfer RNA is filed under the name Ixodes scapularis (black-legged tick). It matches the Rfam family "tRNA". Rfam says of the family: Transfer RNA (tRNA) molecules are approximately 80 nucleotides in length. Their secondary structure includes four short double-helical elements and three loops (D, anti-codon, and T loops). Further hydrogen bonds mediate the characteristic L-shaped molecular structure. tRNAs have two regions of fundamental functional importance: the anti-codon, which is responsible for specific mRNA codon recognition, and the 3' end, to which the tRNAs corresponding amino acid is attached (by aminoacyl-tRNA synthetases). tRNAs cope with the degeneracy of the genetic code in two manners: having more than one tRNA (with a specific anti-codon) for a particular amino acid; and 'wobble' base-pairing, i.e. permitting non-standard base-pairing at the 3rd anti-codon position. The record is from Rfam by way of RNAcentral. Lineage: Eukaryota; Metazoa; Arthropoda; Arachnida; Ixodida; Ixodidae.